RNAcentral lists this transfer RNA (75 nucleotides) under Candidatus Altimarinota bacterium. RNAcentral describes it as "tRNA-Trp". It matches the Rfam family "tRNA". Rfam says of the family: Transfer RNA (tRNA) molecules are approximately 80 nucleotides in length. Their secondary structure includes four short double-helical elements and three loops (D, anti-codon, and T loops). The record is from RNAcentral. Lineage: Bacteria; Candidatus Altimarinota.
GAUUAAAUAGCUUAAUGUAAAGCAAGCAGUCUCCAAAACUGUUAGAUUUAGGUUCAAGUCCUAAUUUUAUUACCA